CACACACACACACACACAUAUGCUGCUCUCUCACACACGCACACACACAUGCUCACACUGACACACACACACACACACUGCUCACAAAAAAGUAGUGUAAAGUUGCCAAACUCUUUUUUCUCUUCCUCUCCUCCGACCUCUUGCGUCUUCUCCUCAUCUACUUUUGCAUCGGUCUCUCCACCUUCUGUUUUCUCAUCACCUUCCACUGUCUCCCCCUCCCCAU
Molecule: long non-coding RNA, 223 nt
Organism: Anguilla rostrata (American eel)
Lineage: Eukaryota; Metazoa; Chordata; Actinopteri; Anguilliformes; Anguillidae
Exons: 2
Source: RefSeq, a predicted model, not a curated record